RNAcentral lists this ribosomal RNA (1401 nucleotides) under uncultured Bordetella sp. RNAcentral describes it as "partial 16S-23S ribosomal RNA intergenic spacer". It matches the Rfam family "Bacterial small subunit ribosomal RNA". Lineage: Bacteria; Pseudomonadati; Pseudomonadota; Betaproteobacteria; Burkholderiales; Alcaligenaceae. The record is from RNAcentral.
AGUCGAACGGUAAGUACGGACUUCGGUCUGGUGGCGAGUGGCGAACGGGUGAGCAAUGUACUGGAACGUGCCUAGUAGCGGGGGAUAACUACGCGCGUAUUAAUACCGCAUACCCUUCGGGGAAAGCGGGGACCUUCGGGCCUCGCACUAAUAGAGCGGCCGAUAUCGGAUUAGCUAGUUGGUGGGGUAACGGCUCACCACAAGGACGAUCCGUAGCUGGUUUGAGGACGACCAGCCACACUGGGACUGAGACACGGCCCAGAUUCUACGGGAGGCAGCAGUGGGGAAUUUGACAAUGGGGAAACCCUGAUCCAGCCAUCCCGCGUGCGAUGAAGGCCUUCGGGUUGUAAAGCACUUUGGCAGGAAAGAAACGGCACGGGAUAAUACCCCGUGCAACUGACGGUACCUGCAGAAUAAGCACUGCAGCGACAUGUGCCAGCAGCGCAGUAAUACGUAGGGGUGCAAGCGUUAACGAAUGCCACAGUGGAGAGGCGGCAAUGGAAAGAAAGAUGUAAAUCCCGAGCCAACUUUGAAACCGUAUUUAAAUUCAACAUUAGAUGUUGCCGCCGGAGUGAGGGUGACCCGCGUAGCAGUGAAUGAGAUAGUGGAGGAAUACCGAGCGAAGGCAGCCUCCUGAUAACACUGACGCCUGAGUGCACGGCGCUGGGCGCAGACGUGGAGUGCUCCUCUGGUAGCCCACGCCCAAACGAACGACCUUUUCAACGAGCUGUUGGGGCCUGGCCUGGUAGCGGUGCCAAUCAUGUGAAGUUGACCGCCUGUGGGAGGGCUGGUCAAAGAUUAAAACCCAAAGGAAUGACGGGACCGCACGCUGGUGGAUGAUGCGGAUUAAUCGAGCAACGCGAAAUCUCACCCGUGACAUGUCUGGAAUCCCGAAGAGAUUUGGAGUUUUAAUCCGGAACACAGGGUGCUGCAUGGCUGGUCGUCAGCUCGUGUCGAGAUGCUGGGUUGUCCCGCAACGAGCGCGAACCUGGUCAUUAGUUGGCAUGAAAGGGCACUCUAUCGAGACUGCCGCAGACAAACGGAGGAAGGUGGGGAUGACGUCAGAACUCGUUAUGGUCUUGCGGUAGGGUCAUGCACAUGAAUGGUCGCGGUACGAGGGCUGCCAACCCGGCGAGGGGGAGCUGACCCAGAAACCCGAUCAGAAUCCGGAUCGCAGUCUGCAACUCACCUGGUAGAAGUCGCAACCGCCAGUAAUCGCGGACCGCAUAUCGCAAGAAUACGUUCCGGCCCACACCGCCGUCAGCAUCAUGAGCGGUCAUCGUAUGAGUGAAGCCCAACCGCAGCGGCGAUUACCACGGUAGGAUCUGGCGACUGGGGCAAGUCGCAUGGCAACCAGGCCAACGAUGCCCGGCGGUGAUGGAAGCAACGAAUCGCAAGCGC